Non-coding RNA from Hortaea werneckii EXF-2000, 99 nucleotides. The record is from Rfam. NCBI's taxonomy places the organism in Eukaryota, Fungi, Ascomycota, Dothideomycetes, Mycosphaerellales, Teratosphaeriaceae.
UUCUGCAAUGAUGACAACCAACAUACAAUUAUACAAUAUUUCUGGUACCUCUUAUGUCAGAGACGCUUGCGUCUCAAUGAUCUAUAUGGACUUCUGAAA